This is a small nucleolar RNA of Megalops cyprinoides (Indo-Pacific tarpon), 74 nucleotides long. RefSeq annotates it as small nucleolar RNA SNORD50. The record is from RefSeq and is a predicted model, not a curated record. Lineage: Eukaryota; Metazoa; Chordata; Actinopteri; Elopiformes; Megalopidae. The transcript has a single exon.
UGUUAAGGAUGAAUCUAUCCCGAAACUGAAACUCUAUUUGAUUGACAAUCACUGUCGGAUCUGACUUCUGAAAU